GCCCUGGUGUUGCUUCAGUCACCUGCUCGCGGCUCACCCCCCUAAAAUUUCUGGCACCACCCCAGUAAAAAAUAUGAAAAUCCGUCUAUGCAUGGAUUUGCUAGCAAAAUAGCAGCAAUUGAUGAACUUGGUGUUAUACUAAGAUUUACUGAAUGUGUAAAGAAACAACGAAAAGUAUAUAUCAAUCAGGGUCAUUAUCUUGAUCAAUUUCCGAUGGGAUCUCCAAAGAAAGUAGCUACAUGUGCAGACAACAUGAAACUUCAGACUGCAGAAAAUUUCACAAUCCGUUAUCAAACUUAUGUCACAGAAGUGGUAAAGGACAUAUGUGACAACUGAAUGAUACCUUUUGUAAAUUUUUUGGCCAGGGGUGGGUAUUUAUUUUUUAAUUGAUAUUUGAGGUUGGGUAAUCAAUUUUUUUUACUUUUUAAUGGUUGGGUCAGCAAAAUUUUUGCUACGAAAAACAUUUCUCUUCGGUACCACCCCCCGCCAUAAAUAAUGACCGGUCCCUUACUACAAAACAAAUGUGCAUGAAGUAUUGUCGUCUCCUCAACAGUCUCAUGCAAUCCGAACCGCUGACGCGAACGUCUUUGUUAUAAUAAUUUCAAACUGAUAGGAUUUUUGACGAUUUUUUUUUAGUUUUAGUUUUAGUAGGAUUUUCUCUUUUAAUAUUAAAUAAUGAGUUUUAGUUCUUAAUUGAUAAUGCUGCUGUGUUUCUUG
This is a non-coding RNA of Paramuricea clavata, 717 nucleotides long. The record is from the annotation of a GenBank genome assembly. Lineage: Eukaryota; Metazoa; Cnidaria; Anthozoa; Malacalcyonacea; Plexauridae.